UAUGUUGGAGAAUGAUUUCAACUAAUACACUCCUAUGCAAAUGCACAAAACCACUCUUUUUCAUUAACUUGCUCUUGUCAACUUGCUAAGUUACUUAAACCCAAUCCCUUGGUGAGAAAGCCUAGAUUCACUUAUUAAAUCCCAAUCCCUUGGCAACCUAACAAGUUCAUCCGUAUUAAGAAAAGAAGUUUAAGACAACCAAAGGUCCUAGCUCUAUCCCUAGACACUAUUUUCUUUAGGUGUUUAGUCCAGUUCAAGGUUCACA
This 265-nucleotide long non-coding RNA is filed under the name Vigna radiata. Its description in RNAcentral is "long non-coding RNA (VRAD_LNC002247)". The record is from RNAcentral. Lineage: Eukaryota; Viridiplantae; Streptophyta; Magnoliopsida; Fabales; Fabaceae.